Nematostella vectensis (starlet sea anemone) is the source of this 543-nucleotide long non-coding RNA. RefSeq lists it as uncharacterized. The record is from RefSeq and is a predicted model, not a curated record. NCBI's taxonomy places the organism in Eukaryota, Metazoa, Cnidaria, Anthozoa, Actiniaria, Edwardsiidae. The transcript is spliced from 2 exons.
UAGGCAUGUUGAUCAAUCGCGAUGGAAAAAAAACAACAAUAGCUUUUGAAUUGUCAUUAAAAAGACUACCGGAAUUCUGUUAAAAAAGCAAGUAGAACAAUAAACAAAACUAAUGUCAUUAGAUCGCUAGUCGAGCACUAGUCGACGACAAAAACGUCGCAUAUUUUGAAACUGAAAUCUUUAAAAAACAAGGCCGACGGCACAAGAUAUCCACCGAGAAGACUCUAUACACUAAUAACUGGACUUCUAUCAAUCCAAUUACGAAACGCAGUCCAACUGGCUUAGCAAAAUUACCCGAGGUUGAACAUAAUCAUGCGAGUCGGAACUGGUCAAAGACAGCGUGACGACGGCUUAGAAAAAGAAGAAAUAGGCGAUUGUCUGAGCAAAAUGAAGCUGGCAAGGGGAUUCGUGGACUAACGGACAGCUAAGGUACUUUUAAACACUGAUUAUGGAGUCCGUUUAUGAGAGUGUAUCUAAAAGAUACCAUAAAAUAGAUUGUAAACUGUGCUAUUUACUAGGAAUAAAGUAGUUUACUGUUUGUGA